UAAUUUACACCAGAAACUGAAAAUUCAAAUAAUUUCCAAAUUGGAAAAAAUAUCUAGUAUUUUACAUCUAAUUCAUUUUAAGCCUACUGUAGGUCCUGCCACAAGUUUAGAACUCAAGCCACAUUCAUCACUAGUAGAAGGCUAGAUGCGCUUAUAAGAGCAUGUGUUCUCACACAAGGUAACAUUUUGAUGGUAAAUUGACAUAUAAUGUUUAGUUAAGAUCUCUAAUUAGACAUGCAAAGAAUGCAUAGUUUAUUAAUGUGGCUGUCAAUUAUUGAAAACUCGUUUUUAUUUUUAAUAAAUUAUUAUAUGUGUUGUAAUAUAUCUUUCUUUUUUUUUUUGACAUUUUUGGUUUAUUGUACUCUUUUCAAUGUGUGUGUAGGCAUCUAAAGUUUAUUGGAUUUAAAUCCAUAAAACUAUUUGGACUAUAUUUUUAAAUUGAAGAUAUAUUAGUUCAAAAAAUUUAAUUGGGCUAAUAUAAUUGGAUUAGUUAUAUAAGUUCAAUAUAUAAGGAUUAAAUAAAUAAGUCCAAAUUUAUUGGGUUAGCCCAUUUAAUUGGUCUACAAGUAAUGAGCCUACUUCAUUAGGCCCAAGAUGUCAUCUUCCUAGAGGCCCCGUGCCAUGUGUCAAAUGACGUGGCACGCCAAGUCAAACAGAAGAGCCAAUAGAAUCAUGCCAUGUGUCAAAAUGACAAGACAUGCCAAGUUAGAUUAAAAGGCCAAUGGAAUCGAACCACAUGGGCAAGUGACAUGUUCUGGCCAAUCAAAUGUGGUCCUGUCAUGCUUCAAUCUGAUUGGUCGGAAAGAGUUUAUUCUUAUCAUAAUUCUUCCCUCCCACAACUAUAGAUAGGGUCUUCAUAACCCAGAAAAGACACCAUAAGUUAUAACAAGAAGCAAGAAAGAGCUUGUGGAUCAAACGCAAAUUUCUCCACAAGUUCAAGUUCAAGCAAUCAAGUACAUGCUCAAGAACGAAGAAUAAAUCAACGUUCAAGAAAUACGAUUUCAAAUCAAAGUUCGUGCUAGUUGAAUUCAAGAUCAUCGUUCGUGGCAACAACUACAUAUUCAAGAUUAAGUUCGAAGGCCCUUGAAUUUAUUUACUAUUGGAAAGAAGAAUCGGAGGAUUCAUAGAGAUUGUACACUCAUAUUAUUUGAAAUCAAAUACUAUGAUUGUUGCAAUAUUUUUCUGUCUUGAUUAUUUUCUUGACGCAAAUUUAUUGUCAACAGUACGUGUUAGCUAUAGUAUACUACUUAUUUUAUUGAAACUUUUGUGUUUUAUAGACUUUUUACAAUUAAACUUACACGUAUUGGGUGUCAAACCCAUGAAAAAAAUUAAGGAAGACUACAUAAACAAAAUUAUAAUUCAUAUGUAAUAGGUUACAAAUGCAAUUGAAGAGAUAUGUGUGAAAAGUUGUAGGUGGGCCCCAUAUUCUAUGAUAGCUUUUGAAAAUUUCCCAUUUUUCAUAGUGAAAUAGUAAGUCUUGGGUGGAGCCAUUUCCCUUCAAAUUCACUUAAUAUUCCUUAGAGUUUGUUAGAGUAUAAAAAAAAGAUAACAAGGAACGAAAAUGGAAACAAAUUUCUGUAUAGGAAAAUCAUUUCUAACUUGUCUUCUCUUUUGUAAACUUAUAAAUACUGCUUUAAAGGUUUGAGAAUAUCUCUGUUCUUCUACUUUUUCGAAGGAUAGAACAAAUAUUUUUGUUACAUAGUAGAGCACUAUUUUUAACGCCGUUAAUUUAGGAAACCACAUAAGAAAUUCCCAGGAGAACGUUAAAUUUUUUAGACAAAUUUCCGUUAUUUGAUUUGAAAUAAUACCAAGUAUUCCACUGUGAAUCUGUAUGGUUAAUUGGAAACAAAAGUUACACCAUAUCUAAACGGGAAAAAAUGCGGGGUGGGGUUGGAACGUGGGACCCAGAAACAAAAUUGGGCAGCAUAAAGUUAUUGGGUGAAAAAAAUGUGCGGUGAUGGUUAAUGACAUAAGCCUAAGGGUAGUUUAGUCAAGAAGUUCAAAAUGUUAUACAUAAGCUACAGUAAGAUUCUUUUUUAAGCAAUUACAUUCUUCCAUUUUAACUAAAAUGACCAGUUUACCCUUUCAAUCCCAAGCAAGAAUGUUGACCUGCUACCUGCUUAUUCUCUCCGUGCCCCUCUAAGAAGGCAUGGAUAUAAUUACCAAUUUACCCUUAAAAUGUUUGAACAUGUUCGUACACCACAAUUGCCGUUUCUAAAUAAUACUCGCUCCGUUUCAAUUCAUGUGAAUCUAUUUGAUUGAUCACGAAGUUUAAGAAAAAAUAAAGAUUUUAAAAAUUUGUGAUCAUAAAUAAAUCAAAAAUGGACCCAGAAUAUUUUGUGUGGUUAUAAAAAUUUCUCAUUAAGGAUACAAAUUGUAAGUUUUAAGUUAAAUUAUUACCAAAUUUAGAAAUGGGUCAUUCUUUUUUGAACGGACCAAAAAAUAAAUAGGUUCACAUAAACUGGAACAGAGAUAGUAAUAAAGUAAUAUAUUAUAAAAUUUGAAAAAUAAAAUGAACGGGCUUAAAUCUUUGAGUAGAGUGUUCCUAUAAUUUCAAAAGGAACCAGUUGGUUCAGUAGACCCAAAGAUUUAAAUGGUAGCUACAGCAACUUCAUUUGUCAGCCAAUAGAAGAAUCAUUUUGUUUUUAUGUAAUUACAGUAAUACCCUCUGACCCGAAUUGCAACCGGAUGCAACUCAAUUUUUUUUUCCGGAGGCACUUGUCAUUCCCACCCAUAAAGGGAUGAAAAUUAUAUAUAUAAAAAGUUGAAAUUUUAAAUAGCAAAAGAUUAAAAAUUUCAAUGUUACACAAAAUUUCAAGUUUAUUUAAAUAGCUACAGUAAGAUUCUUUUUUAAGCAAUUACAUUCUUCCAUUUUAACUAAAAUGACCAGUUUACCCUUUCAAUCCCAAGCAAUUAUUCAAAUAAAAAUCAUUCGAUUAUAAUUCUUUCAAAUAAAAGUCAUUAUGUGACACCUCAUUUCAUAAUCAUAAAAACACGGGUCUCAGCCCACUUUUAUAUUUUUGCUACACCUCGUGCCCAUAUCUCUAUUACAACCGCACGGACAACUCAUGUACCAAAAUAUCAAUGUAUAUAAGAUUCGCAUGAUCAAUUUAUUUUCAAUAGCGUAAGUUUACAAUUUUUAAACCUAGUAAGCUGAGAAACUUUAUAAACUAUAUCAAUUACCUUUGUUUGUGAACAUGAAAAACUUUAUAAACUUUUUCAAAUAAAACACAGCUGAGAAACUUCUUGGAAUCUGCCAGGAAGAUAGGUAUAAUGACACAGUAGGAAUCAACACGUUCAGAUUUGCACAAAAUUUGUACAGGAAAAAAUGAGCCAAUGUAUAAUAGAGCUGUAGUAAGCACUGUUGAUAAGACCAUUAUAGUAGAAACAUUGACCUUACGAUAUCAUCACCAAUUUCUGGAGUUAUACUAAUGCUUCUUCUUCGUAAUCUUCGUGUUUCUGAUGUUGAUGCACCUUCUGACCUGUGAAACACAGAAACAAUAGGGAACUCAGAAUUCUCAAAAGGAAAAAAAAAA
Molecule: long non-coding RNA, 3536 nt
Filed under: Nicotiana tabacum (common tobacco)
Lineage: Eukaryota; Viridiplantae; Streptophyta; Magnoliopsida; Solanales; Solanaceae
Description: long non-coding RNA (NTAB_LNC019645)
Source: RNAcentral